CAAGUCGAACGAUGAAGCCGGAGCUUGCUCUGGUGAAUUAGUGGCGAACGGGUGAGUAACACGUGAGUAACCUGCCCUUGACUCUGGGAUAACUGCUAGAAAUGGUAGCUAAUACCGGAUACGACCCUCGGCGGCAUCGCCAGGGGGUGGAAAGAAUUUCGGUCAAGGAUGGACUCGCGGCCUAUCAGCUAGUUGGUGAGGUAACGGCUCACCAAGGCGACGACGGGUAGCCGGCCUGAGAGGGUGACCGGCCACACUGGGACUGAGACACGGCCCAGACUCCUACGGGAGGCAGCAGUGGGGAAUAUUGCACAAUGGGCGCAAGCCUGAUGCAGCAACGCCGCGUGAGGGAUGACGGCCUUCGGGUUGUAAACCUCUUUUAGUAGGGAAGAAGCGAAAGCGACGGUACCUGCAGAAAAAGCACCGGCUAACUACGUGCCAGCAGCCGCGGUAAUACGUAGGGUGCAAGCGUUGUCCGGAAUUAUUGGGCGUAAAGAGCUCGUAGGCGGUUUGUCGCGUCUGCUGUGAAAUCCCGAGGCUCAACCUCGGGCCUGCGGUGGGUACGGGCAAACUAGAGUGUGGUAGGGGAGAUUGGAACUCCUGGUGUAGCGGUGGAAUGCGCAGAUAUCAGGAAGAACACCGAUGGCGAAGGCAGAUCUCUGGGCCAUUACUGACGCUGAGGAGCGAAAGCGUGGGGAGCGAACAGGAUUAGAUACCCUGGUAGUCCGCGCCGUAAACGUUGGGAACUAGAUGUAGGGUCCAUUCCACGGAUUCUGUGUCGCAGCUAACGCAUUAAGUUCCCCGCCUGGGGAGUACGGCCGCAAGGCUAAAACUCAAAGGAAUUGACGG
RNAcentral lists this ribosomal RNA (849 nucleotides) under uncultured bacterium. RNAcentral's name for it is "bacterial SSU rRNA". It matches the Rfam family "Bacterial small subunit ribosomal RNA", at positions 58 to 916 of the family's 1533-position model. The record is from RNAcentral.